UGGGGAAUUUUGGACAAUGGGGGCAACCCUGAUCCAGCAAUGCCGCGUGAGUGAAGAAGGCUUCGGGUUGUAAAGCUCUUUUGUCAGGGAAGAAACAGCAGCUCUAACACAGUCUGCGAAUGACGGUACCUGAAGAAUAAGCACCGGCUAACUACGUGCCAGCAGCCGCGGUAAUACGUAGGGUGCAAGCGUUAAUCGGAAUUACUGGGCGUAAAGCGUGCGCAGGCGGUUAUACAAGACAGGCGUGAAAUCCCCGGGCUUAACCUGGGAAUGGCGUCUGUGACUGUAUGACUAGAGUGUGUCAGAGGGGGGUAGAAUUCCACGUGUAGCAGUGAAAUGCGUAGAUAUGUGGAGGAAUACCAAUGGCGAAGGCAGCCCCCUGGGAUAACACUGACGCUCAUGCACGAAAGCGUGGGGAGCAAACAGGAUUAGAUACCCUGGUAGUCCACGCCCUAAACGAUGCCGACUAGUUGUUGGGAAUUUACAUUCUCAGUAACGUAGCUAACGCGUGAAGUCCGGCGCCUGGGGAGUACGGUCGCAAGAUUA
This 546-nucleotide ribosomal RNA is filed under the name uncultured beta proteobacterium. RNAcentral describes it as "bacterial SSU rRNA". It matches the Rfam family "Bacterial small subunit ribosomal RNA", at positions 355 to 896 of the family's 1533-position model. Lineage: Bacteria; Pseudomonadati; Pseudomonadota; Betaproteobacteria. The record is from RNAcentral.